AGAUUGAACGCUGGCGGCGUGCCUAACACAUGCAAGUCGAGCGGUAACAGGUGUAGCAAUACAUGCUGACGAGCGGCGAACGGGUGAGUAAUGCUUUGGAAUCUUCCCAGUAGUGGGGAAUAACCAGUCGAAAGAUUGGCUAAUACCGCAUACGUCUGUAAAGGGAAAGCGGGGGCUCGUAAGACCUCGCGCUAUUGGAUGAGCCAAAGUCGGAUUAGCUAGUUGGUGGGGUAAUGGCCUACCAAGGCGACAAUCCGUAGCUGGUCUGAGAGGACGACCAGCCACACCGGAACUGAGACACGGUCCGGACUCCUACGGGAGGCAGCAGUGGGGAAUAUUGGACAAUGGGGGAAACCCUGAUCCAGCGACGCCGCGUGUGUGAAGAAGGCCUGCGGGUUGUAAAGCACUUUUAGUGGGGACAAAAGCUACGGAUUAAUACUCUGUGGUCUUGAUUUAACCCAAAGAAAAGCACCGGCUAACUCUGUGCCAGCAGCCGC
RNAcentral lists this ribosomal RNA (497 nucleotides) under uncultured bacterium. RNAcentral's name for it is "SSU rRNA". It matches the Rfam family "Bacterial small subunit ribosomal RNA", at positions 26 to 518 of the family's 1533-position model. The record is from RNAcentral.